UACGGAGGGUGCGAGCGUUGUCCGGAAUCACUGAGCGUAAAGGGCGCGUAGGCGGCUGGGGAAGUCGGCGGUGAAAGCCCGGAGCUCAACUCCGGGUCGGCCGUCGAGACUCCUCGGCUCGAGCUCACUAGAGGCAGAUGGAAUUCCGGGUGUAGCGGUGGAAUGCGUAGAGAUCCGGAAGAACACCGGUGGCGAAGGCGGCCUGCUGGGCAGUAGCUGACGCUGAGGCGCGACAGCGUGGGGGAGCAAACAGG
RNAcentral lists this ribosomal RNA (254 nucleotides) under uncultured bacterium. RNAcentral describes it as "partial 16S ribosomal RNA". It matches the Rfam family "Bacterial small subunit ribosomal RNA", at positions 524 to 776 of the family's 1533-position model. The record is from RNAcentral.